This 58-nucleotide transfer RNA is filed under the name Meghimatium bilineatum. RNAcentral describes it as "tRNA-Ser". The record is from RNAcentral. Lineage: Eukaryota; Metazoa; Mollusca; Gastropoda; Stylommatophora; Philomycidae.
GUUAAGUGAUAAUUAAGGCUGCUAACUUUGAUUAGGGGUAUAAAUACUCCACUUAAUU